UGUGGAAUGCUGAGAAAGGUAAAAACACCUCCAAAUAAGGAAGAGGAACAGACUAUGACUUAAUACUUGCUUGGACCAGUGUAAGCAUGCCAGGGCAAAUAUUUAGGCUAAAUUGUGGGAGCUAAGAACACAAAGUACAUUGAUUUCUUUAUUAUAGCUAGCAGAUAUCUAAGAAUGUUAGCACAGGUCUUUGAAUAAAUUUUGUUUCUGAGAGAAGUUACUAUUUAUUCCUAAUUAGACGGGGAGGAAAGUCUCUUUGAAGAGGAACCUCUAUUUUAUUUUUACACUCAGAAGCCCGGGCAGCUCUGCCGGGAGUGCAGGGAGGCAGCUCUCCUGGGGGUGCAGAACACAUUGGAUACACCGGUUAUUUUACCAAGGCUUUGGCUGGAAUGUUACAUUUUUGAAUGUGACCAAACUGCUUUGAGGAAUUGAGGCUGACUUUAUAAAGCCAAUAGACAUGGGAAAGACUGGCCUCAUGCCUUGCCCACACGGUUCUCUUACAAGGUUCCUCAGCUUGCGAGAGUUUAUCGGAGCAUUCAGAGAUUCAAGAAUUGGGGCAGCACCAGACCACAAGGGGCUAUCACUCCAUCAAGAAAGGCAAGAGGGGAAACUUUCAUGCGCG
This is a long non-coding RNA of Homo sapiens (human), 622 nucleotides long. RefSeq lists it as uncharacterized. The record is from RefSeq and is a predicted model, not a curated record. The transcript is spliced from 3 exons. Lineage: Eukaryota; Metazoa; Chordata; Mammalia; Primates; Hominidae.